UACAGAGGUCUCAACCGUUGUUCGGAUUCAUUGGGCGUAAAGGGUGCGUAGGCGGUCGUGCAAGUCGGAUGUGAAAUCUCAGGGCUCAACCCUGAAACUGCAUUCGAUACUGCGUGGCUAGAGUGCUGGAGAGGAGACUGGAAUUUACGGUGUAGCAGUGAAAUGCGUAGAUAUCUGGAGGAACACCGGUGGCGAAGGCGGCUCACUGGUCCGGUUCUGACGCUGAGGCGCGAAAGCGUGGGGAGCAAACAGG
This 253-nucleotide ribosomal RNA is filed under the name uncultured bacterium. Its description in RNAcentral is "partial 16S ribosomal RNA". It matches the Rfam family "Bacterial small subunit ribosomal RNA", at positions 524 to 776 of the family's 1533-position model. The record is from RNAcentral.